RNAcentral lists this small RNA (189 nucleotides) under Theobroma cacao (cacao). RNAcentral describes it as "sRNA Tc02v2_g025270". Lineage: Eukaryota; Viridiplantae; Streptophyta; Magnoliopsida; Malvales; Malvaceae. The record is from RNAcentral.
AAGGAAAUUUGGUGGAUUUCAAGGAAUCAAGCAAUCAAAGGUCCGAGGUAGCCUGUGGAUAGCAGAUAUCGUCAAGGAUUAUAGUUGGCUUUACUACUCCAAAAACUAUAGGUUUACUGCCUUUGUGCACUUUUGUUCCUUGUAGGCCCACGAGUCACUGUAAAGUAAAUUUCAUAUCCCAGUUACCUA